AAGCUUUAGCUUGUAAUCAAUCUGUGGACA
Molecule: non-coding RNA, 30 nt
Filed under: Cricetulus griseus (Chinese hamster)
Lineage: Eukaryota; Metazoa; Chordata; Mammalia; Rodentia; Cricetidae
Source: RNAcentral